AUUGAACGCUGGCGGCAGGCCUAACACAUGCAAGUCGAGCGGCAGCGGGAAAGUAGCUUGCUACUUUUGCCGGCGAGCGGCGGACGGGUGAGUAAUGCCUGGGGAUCUGCCCAGUCGAGGGGGAUAACUACUGGAAACGGUAGCUAAUACCGCAUACGCCCUACGGGGGAAAGCAGGGGACCUUCGGGCCCUGCGCGAUUGGAUGAACCCAGGUGGGAUUAGCUAGUUGGUGCGGUAAUGGCUCACCAAGGCGACGAUCCCUAGCUGGUCUGAGAGGAUGAUCAGCCACACUGGAACUGAGACACGGUCCAGACUCCUACGGGAGGCAGCAGUGGGGAAUAUUGCACAAUGGGGGAAACCCUGAUGCAGCCAUGCCGCGUGUGUGAAGAAGGCCUUCGGGUUGUAAAGCACUUUCAGCGAGGAGGAAAGGUUGGUAGCUAAUAACUGCCAGCUGUGACGUUACUCGCAGAAGAACCACCGGCUAACUCCGUGCCAGCCGCCGCAGUAA
Molecule: ribosomal RNA, 508 nt
Filed under: uncultured bacterium
Lineage: Bacteria
Description: partial 16S ribosomal RNA
Rfam family: Bacterial small subunit ribosomal RNA
Source: RNAcentral